CUGAAGGAGGAGCUUGCUCUUCUGGAUGAGUUGCGAACGGGUGAGUAACGCGUAGGUAACCUGCCUGGUAGCGGGGGAUAACUAUUGGAAACGAUAGCUAAUACCGCAUAACAGUAGAUAUCGCAUGAUAGCUGCUUGAAAGGUGCAAUUGCACCACUACCAGAUGGACCUGCGUUGUAUUAGCUAGUUGGUGAGGUAACGGCUCACCAAGGCCACGAUACAUAGCCGACCUGAGAGGGUGAUCGGCCACACUGGGACUGAGACACGGCCCAGACUCCUACGGGAGGCAGCAGUAGGGAAUCUUCGGCAAUGGACGGAAGUCUGACCGAGCAACGCCGCGUGAGUGAAGAAGGUUUUCGGAUCGUAAAGCUCUGUUGUAAGAGAAGAACGAGUGUGAGAGUGGAAAGUUCACACUGUGACGGUAUCUUACCAGAAAGGGACGGCUAACUACGUGCCAGCAGCCGCGGUAAUACGUAGGUCCCGAGCGUUGUCCGGAUUUAUUGGGCGUAAAGCGAGCGCAGGCGGUUAGAUAAGUCUGAAGUUAAAGGCUGUGGCUUAACCAUAGUACGCUUUGGAAACUGUUUAACUUGAGUGCAAGAGGGGAGAGUGGAAUUCCAUGUGUAGCGGUGAAAUGCGUAGAUAUAUGGAGGAACACCGGUGGCGAAAGCGGCUC
RNAcentral lists this ribosomal RNA (673 nucleotides) under uncultured Bacilli bacterium. Its description in RNAcentral is "bacterial SSU rRNA". It matches the Rfam family "Bacterial small subunit ribosomal RNA", at positions 67 to 727 of the family's 1533-position model. Lineage: Bacteria; Bacillati; Bacillota; Bacilli. The record is from RNAcentral.